RNAcentral lists this ribosomal RNA (253 nucleotides) under uncultured bacterium. RNAcentral's name for it is "partial 16S ribosomal RNA". It matches the Rfam family "Bacterial small subunit ribosomal RNA", at positions 524 to 776 of the family's 1533-position model. The record is from RNAcentral.
UACGAAGGGGGCUAGCGUUGUUCGGAAUUACUGGGCGUAAAGGGCGCGUAGGCGGCCUGGCAAGUGACGGGUGAAAGCCCUCGGCUUAACCGAGGAACUGCCUGUCAGACUGUUAGGCUUGAGACCGGGAGAGGUGAGUGGAAUUCCCAGUGUAGCGGUGAAAUGCGUAGAUAUUGGGAGGAACACCAGUGGCGAAGGCGGCUCACUGGACCGGUACUGACGCUGAGGCGCGAAAGCGUGGGGAGCAAACAGG